AAGUCGUAACAAGGUAACCGUAGGUGAACCUGCGGUUGGAUCAUUAUUGAAUAAUUUUAAUCCUAAACUAUUCCCUAUUCUCUUUGAGGUCAAAGCUUUGUUUUCUUUAUUGAAGCAAGGCCUCCUCUUAGAAGGGAACACACCUUUAAAAAAACACCUUUUUUUAACAGUAUUUUGGGGAAAGAGAAAUUGAAAAAUUCUUUUUCUUUCUUUCCCCAAAUAAAUACCUUAUCAAAAACAUUUUGUUUCUCUUUUUUUAUUUUUUGUCAUAAUAGACAAUAUAAACAAAAAAAACAACUUUUGACAACGGAUCUCUUGGCUCUC
This 324-nucleotide unclassified non-coding RNA is filed under the name fungal sp. RNAcentral describes it as "partial internal transcribed spacer region". The stretch from base 1 to 46 matches the Rfam family "Eukaryotic small subunit ribosomal RNA", at positions 1786 to 1831 of the family's 1831-position model. Lineage: Eukaryota; Fungi. The record is from RNAcentral.